ACAAACCAGCCAUCUUUCUAUUCCUCUGUAAUUCUGGUCCAGUGCAAAUCAAACAUUCCUCGCUCAUUGGAGCAGCAUUUGUGUAGCACUGUUAAAAAGAUGCGAAGACUCGCCGUCGUCUAGAUAUGCGGUUCACCUCGUGCUUUUCGGUUUGCAUAUUAGUGGUGGCAAUCUACUGUUGCGUCGGCUACGGCAAAAGUACGCAACAAAGGACGACCCACCCUCAAAAAAGCGGCAACAAAGUGCAAAAUGGGACGAAAAAAGCAGUAGUCUCGGGUGGUACGCAAAAAGGCUCAGCGAUGAAAAAAAGGCGGCAGUACAUCAUUAAAUGCUGUGGCACAAAUUCGUGCCGCGGUCCAAAUAAGCCGCUCUCCAGGAAUAAUAGUAGAAAAACCACGCAACAAACGACUGCUGCAUCGGUUGCAACCACAAUUGCGGCUGCUAAUGAUGAAGCUGCUUCUGAGAACAUUGACACGGGAGAAGGUGGAGGAGCAACUGACGAACAGAUAGGCGAAACAGUGGAACCUGCAGAUCCUGAGACAAAUCCACCGACAGUAGCUGCUGUUGGAUACACAGGAGCAACUGCUAGUGAAAACGGUGACUACGGCAAUGCGUAUUAAUUGGAUUACUUGCGAGAUUAAUAUCAAAUUAGGGUAGUUAUAACACUGAGGAAAUUUCCAACCAAAUAUUUUUGAAGUGUGGUUCCGCUAAAAGUUGAGUAAUUUCCAAGCACUUAUCUUAAAACAACAUAUAUCUUAUGUUGAUUCAAAUCAUUUAUGAAAAAUCUCAUAGUUUGCUGAUCAUAUUGUUCAUUAUAUGUAUUCUUCCAUGCCGUAGACACGAAAAAAAUUGGUCCUUCUCAGUCGUUGUACACAUUGGCUUCGUCGACAAAGAUAAUUUAUCACAGGUUUUUUAUUGUUCUAAAUGUAUUGCGGAUAUAUUCGAAUUUGGCCGUUGGAAAUAAAUGAAAAUGAAUA
Molecule: long non-coding RNA, 977 nt
Organism: Cloeon dipterum
Lineage: Eukaryota; Metazoa; Arthropoda; Insecta; Ephemeroptera; Baetidae
Exons: 4
Source: RefSeq, a predicted model, not a curated record